UCCGGCGUAGCUCAGUUGGUAGAGCAACUGGCUGUUAACCAGUGGGUCGGAGGUUCGAGUCCUCCCGCCGGAGC
Molecule: transfer RNA, 74 nt
Filed under: bacterium HR34
Lineage: Bacteria
Description: tRNA-Asn
Rfam family: tRNA
About the family: Transfer RNA (tRNA) molecules are approximately 80 nucleotides in length. Their secondary structure includes four short double-helical elements and three loops (D, anti-codon, and T loops).
Source: RNAcentral